AAAUUGAAGAGUUUGAUCAUGGCUCAGAUUGAACGCUGGCGGCAGGCCUAACACAUGCAAGUCGAACGGUAACAGGAAGCAGCUUGCUGCUUCGCUGACGAGUGGCGGACGGGUGAGUAAUGUCUGGGAAACUGCCUGAUGGAGGGGGAUAACUACUGGAAACGGUGGCUAAUACCGCAUAACGUCGCAAGACCAAAGAGGGGGACCUUCGGGCCUCUUGCCAUCAGAUGUGCCCAGAUGGGAUUAGCUUGUUGGUGAGGUAACGGCUCACCAAGGCGACGAUCCCUAGCUGGUCUGAGAGGAUGACCAGCCACACUGGAACUGAGACACGGUCCAGACUCCUACGGGAGGCAGCAGUGGGGAAUAUUGCACAAUGGGCGCAAGCCUGAUGCAGCCAUGCCGCGUGUAUGAAGAAGGCCUUCGGGUUGUAAAGUACUUUCAGCGGGGAGGAAGGUGUUGUGGUUAAUAACCGCAGCAAUUGACGUUACCCGCAGAAGAAGCACCGGCUAACUCCGUGCCAGCAGCCGCGGUAAUACGGAGGGUGCAAGCGUUAAUCGGAAUUACUGGGCGUAAAGCGCACGCAGGCGGUCUGUCAAGUCGGAUGUGAAAUCCCCGGGCUCAACCUGGGAACUGCAUUCGAAACUGGCAGGCUUGAGUCUUGUAGAGGGGG
RNAcentral lists this ribosomal RNA (670 nucleotides) under Salmonella enterica subsp. enterica serovar Anatum. RNAcentral describes it as "bacterial SSU rRNA". It matches the Rfam family "Bacterial small subunit ribosomal RNA", at positions 1 to 660 of the family's 1533-position model. Lineage: Bacteria; Pseudomonadati; Pseudomonadota; Gammaproteobacteria; Enterobacterales; Enterobacteriaceae. RNAcentral also lists the same sequence under 1 other name. The record is from RNAcentral.